Long non-coding RNA from Ictalurus punctatus (channel catfish), 834 nucleotides. Lineage: Eukaryota; Metazoa; Chordata; Actinopteri; Siluriformes; Ictaluridae. The record is from Ensembl.
UGCAAACAUGAGAGAGUGUGUGUGACAGAACAGCAAAGUUCAGAGUGGUAUUCAUGUUAAUGGAGGAAAGGGUCUGGAUGAAGAAAUGGGGAGCAUUGCUACUGCAGCUGCCACUGUUGCUGUGACCUGUGGUGUUGUCUGUUGCUACUUUAACCUAUGGUCAUGAUUAAUACUGCUCUGACCUGAAUUUUUUUCUUCUUUCAAUUUAAAAACAUCUUUAAAGUUUUUAUAUUUUUUCUCAUCAGUCUGGGCUUUUUUUCCCCACUUUGUGUAAGUUUAGACAGGUCUCAAGAUAGCGUGGGCCAAAAUGGUGAAGAUUGGACAAUAUUUGGACGAGGAGCAGCAAAAAUGGCACUUAGAUGGAAGCAAUUUUGGCAACUAACGGUGACCUGAAACUUAAUUAAGCUGCGUGACAACAAUAUCUCCCUCUAAGACUGUAGGUCUCCAUUCAUCCAUCCAUCUUCUAUACUGCUUAUCCUUUCUUCAUGGUCAGGGGGAAACCUGGAGCCUAUCCCAGGGAGCAUCGGGCACAAGGAGGGGUACACCCUGGACAGGGUAGUCUGUAGGUCUGUGCUCUUCUUAUCUAUUGUAACUUUUGUAAAGGGACCAGUCCAGUUUCUCUCCAGCUUCCCACCCUUUUUUUGUUGGCUUCAAAUAUUUUUCCUAAGAACCUGGUCCUGUACAUGAAACCAUGUCUGUUUCACAAAUUUGGCCAUCUUGUAUUUACUUUGAGCUGCGGUUAUAUUUUCACGCACAAGAGUGAAAAUGGAGUCCUGCCUUUUAAUGACCUCUGACACCACCUCCUGGCCAAGAACAUUCAUUGAAACAUUGUGG